This 497-nucleotide ribosomal RNA is filed under the name uncultured bacterium. RNAcentral describes it as "partial 16S ribosomal RNA". It matches the Rfam family "Bacterial small subunit ribosomal RNA", at positions 28 to 507 of the family's 1533-position model. The record is from RNAcentral.
GAUGAACGCUGGCGGCGUGCCUAAUACAUGCAAGUCGAGCGAACAGACGAGGAGCUUGCUCCUCUGACGUUAGCGGCGGACGGGUGAGUAACACGUGGAUAACCUACCUAUAAGACUGGGAUAACUUCGGGAAACCGGAGCUAAUACCGGAUAAUAUAUUGAACCGCAUGGUUCAAUAGUGAAAGACGGUUUUGCUGUCACUUAUAGAUGGAUCCGCGCCGCAUUAGCUAGUUGGUAAGGUAACGGCUUACCAAGGCAACGAGUCGUAGCCGACCUGAGAGGGUGAUCGGCCACACUGGAACUGAGACACGGUCCAGACUCCUACGGGAGGCAGCAGUAGGGAAUCUUCCGCAAUGGGCGAAAGCCUGACGGAGCAACGCCGCGUGAGUGAUGAAGGUCUUCGGAGCGUAAAACUCUGUUAUUAGGGAAGAACAAAUGUGUAAGUAACUAUGCACGUCUUGACGGUACCUAAUCAGAAAGCCACGGCUAACUACGUG